This 25-nucleotide ribosomal RNA is filed under the name Candidatus Synechococcus spongiarum. Its description in RNAcentral is "partial 23S ribosomal RNA". The record is from RNAcentral. Lineage: Bacteria; Bacillati; Cyanobacteriota; Cyanophyceae; Synechococcales; Synechococcaceae.
UGUCAAGCUNCAAAGGGCUCACGGU